GGUUCGAUGAUGACAACCUAACUCUGAAGAGAGGUGAUGAAUAAAAAAAAAAUUGUACACGAGAGGAUUGAGCUGAGGCCC
Small nucleolar RNA from Otolemur garnettii (small-eared galago), 81 nucleotides. Its record names the gene SNORD115. It matches the Rfam family "Small nucleolar RNA SNORD115". From Rfam's summary of the family: HBII-52 is a member of the C/D class of snoRNAs, which contain the C (UGAUGA) and D (CUGA) box motifs. HBII-52 is encoded in a tandemly repeated array with another C/D snoRNA, HBII-85, in the Prader-Willi syndrome (PWS) region of chromosome 15. HBII-52 is exclusively expressed in the brain but is absent in PWS patients. Lineage: Eukaryota; Metazoa; Chordata; Mammalia; Primates; Galagidae. The record is from Ensembl.